CGACCAGCGGGGGAUGGCGAUGUCCAGCGCGGCGGGGAUCGCGUCGGUCAGGUCGUGGUGCGUGAGUGCGGAGGCCAGGCAGAUCGUAGCG
This 91-nucleotide small RNA is filed under the name Mycobacterium tuberculosis H37Rv. RNAcentral's name for it is "Fragment of putative small regulatory RNA". The record is from RNAcentral. Lineage: Bacteria; Bacillati; Actinomycetota; Actinomycetes; Mycobacteriales; Mycobacteriaceae. RNAcentral also lists the same sequence under 1 other name.